RNAcentral lists this ribosomal RNA (776 nucleotides) under uncultured Neocallimastigales. Its description in RNAcentral is "partial large subunit ribosomal RNA". It matches the Rfam family "Eukaryotic large subunit ribosomal RNA", at positions 20 to 643 of the family's 3401-position model. The record is from RNAcentral. Lineage: Eukaryota; Fungi; Neocallimastigomycota; Neocallimastigomycetes; Neocallimastigales.
CAUCACUACGCUAGAUGCAUAUCAAUAAGCGGAGGAAAAGAAACUAACAAGGAUUCCCCUAGUAACGGCGAGUGAAGCGGGAAGAGCUCAAAUUUGAAAUCUUAAAGGGUUUCCCUUUACGAAUUGUAGUUUAAAGAAGUGUUUUCUGUUGGAGUUUCGGUAAAAGUUCUUUGGAAUAGGACAUCAUAGAGGGUGAGAAUCCCGUAUUUGACCGUUACUUUCCAGCUGUGUGAUACACUUUCAAAGAGUCGGAUUGUUUGGGAAUGCAGUCCAAGAUGGGUGGUAAAUUUCAUCUAAAGCUAAAUAUUGGCGAGAGACCGAUAGCGAACAAGUACCGUGAGGGAAAGAUGAAAAGAACUUUGAAAAGAGAGUUAAACAGUACGUGAAAUUGUCAAAAGGGAAGCGUUUGACACCAGUGUUGUUUAGUUGAAAAUCAAUUCAAUAGUUUUUGAUUCUAAGUAGUAUUGACUUCAUCAGCUUGCUGCUUUCUUCUCAGAAAUUAUUGAAUGCACUUUUCAGUUAACAAGUCAACAUCAAUUUCUUUUGUUGUAAAAGGGUAAGAGGAAGGUGGCUUGCGCUUCGGCUCAAGUGUUUAUAGCCUUUUAUCUCUGCGAUCGGAGAGAUUGAGGUCUGCAGCGUAGAUCCUUCGGGGUUAGAUACAUUGGUGCUAAGUUAUAGCUUGUCAUAGACAACUUGUUGACUAUGUUUAGUCAUUGUAGCUUACUCGCUGAUGCUAUUUUACCUACGCUUAGGAUGUUGAUAGUCACAGCGUGUAC